GACGAACGCUGGCGGCGUGCUUAACACAUGCAAGUCGAACGGAAAGGCCCUGCUUGCAGGGUACUCGCGUGGCGAACGGGUGAGUAACACGUGGGUGAUCUGCCCUGCACUUCGGGAUAAGCCUGGGAAACUGGGUCUAAUACCGGAUAGGAGCCAUUUUUAGUGUGAUGGUUGGAAAGUUUUUUCGGUGUAGGAUGAGCUCGCGGCCUAUCAGCUUGUUGGUGGGGUAAUGGCCUACCAAGGCGGCGACGGGUAGCCGGCCUGAGAGGGUGGACGGCCACAUUGGGACUGAGAGGCGGCCCAGACUCCUACGGGAGGCAGCAGUGGGGAAUAUUGCACAAUGGGCGCCAGCCUGAUGCAGCGACGCCGCGUGGGGGAUGACGGCCUUCGGGUUGUAAACUCCUUUCGCUAGGGACGAAGCUUUUUGUGACGGUACCUAGAUAAGAAGCACCGGCUAACUACGUG
Molecule: ribosomal RNA, 465 nt
Filed under: uncultured bacterium
Lineage: Bacteria
Description: partial 16S ribosomal RNA
Rfam family: Bacterial small subunit ribosomal RNA
Source: RNAcentral